AGGAAAAGUUGUCAGCAAGGUUUAUCUAUGUGAAAAGAUGUCCCUGGUUAAUGAAAUGUACUUUUCAAUUAUACUUGAUCGUGCAACUGCUGGCCCUCUCAUUAUUGCUUGUCGAAAGGGUGGAACCAGCAUAGAAGACCUAGCAGAAAAAUUCCCCGACAUGAUUAUAAAGGUUCCAAUUGAUGUUUUCAAAGGAAUCAGUGAUGCAGAUGCUGCAAAGGUUGUUGAUGGUUUGGCUCCAAAAGUAGCUGACAGAAACGAUUCAAUUGAACAAGUGAAAAAGUUGUAUAAACUUUUCUGUGAAACUGACUGCACAAUGUUAGAGAUCAACCCCCUUGCAGAAACUUCUGACAACAAGCUGGUAGCUGCAGAUGCAAAGCUCAAUUUUGACGAUAAUGCUGCUUACCGCCAAAAGGAAAUAUUUUCUCUUCGCGAUUCAUCACAAGAAGAUCCUCGUGAGGUUGCUGCUGCAAAAGCCGAUUUGAAUUAUAUUGGCUUGGAUGGAGAAAUUGGUUGCAUGGUAAAUGGUGCUGGAUUGGCAAUGGCUACCAUGGAUAUUAUUAAGCUUCAUGGGGGAACUCCAGCCAAUUUUCUAGAUGUUGGUGGAAAUGCUACUGAAGGCCAGGUUGUCGAGGCCUUCAAAAUUUUGACUGCAGAUGAGAAGGUGAAAGCUAUUUUGGUGAACAUCUUUGGCGGAAUAAUGAAGUGUGAUGUGAU
This 717-nucleotide unclassified non-coding RNA is filed under the name Hevea brasiliensis (rubber tree). Lineage: Eukaryota; Viridiplantae; Streptophyta; Magnoliopsida; Malpighiales; Euphorbiaceae. The record is from RNAcentral.